UAUCCACAGAACAGGUACAGCACAGGCAUUAGCAAGUGAGAUGACCCCUUGUCUCAUCAACAUGCCUCAACUUUGCUUUGAGAGACCAAAGUCCAGAUG
This 99-nucleotide small RNA is filed under the name Chrysemys picta bellii (western painted turtle). Its description in RNAcentral is "TUC338 (ENSCPBG00000005142.1)". The record is from RNAcentral. Lineage: Eukaryota; Metazoa; Chordata; Testudines; Emydidae.